AAUCCUCUGUGGAUGCUUCAGCCACACUUAUCCAUACAGAAGAGAUUGGCAUGGCCCUUGCACAAGGGUGACAAGCAAAUCUGUGAAGGGUUCUGAAAACAA
RNAcentral lists this small nuclear RNA (102 nucleotides) under Loxodonta africana (African savanna elephant). Lineage: Eukaryota; Metazoa; Chordata; Mammalia; Proboscidea; Elephantidae. The record is from RNAcentral.